RNAcentral lists this ribosomal RNA (491 nucleotides) under uncultured bacterium. Its description in RNAcentral is "partial 16S ribosomal RNA". It matches the Rfam family "Bacterial small subunit ribosomal RNA", at positions 29 to 506 of the family's 1533-position model. The record is from RNAcentral.
AGUGAACGCUGGCGGUAGGCCUAACACAUGCAAGUCGAACGGCAGCACAGUGAGAGCUUGCUCUUACGGGUGGCGAGUGGCGGACGGGUGAGGAAUACAUCGGAAUCUACUUUUUCGUGGGGGAUAACGUAGGGAAACUUACGCUAAUACCGCAUACGACCUACGGGUGAAAGCAGGGGAUCUUCGGACCUUGCGCGAUUGAAUGAGCCGAUGUCGGAUUAGCUAGUUGGCGGGGUAAAGGCCCACCAAGGCGACGAUCCGUAGCUGGUCUGAGAGGAUGAUCAGCCACACUGGAACUGAGACACGGUCCAGACGCCUACGGGAGGCAGCAGUGGGGAAUAUUGGACAAUGGGCGCAAGCCUGAUCCAGCCAUACCGCGUGGGUGAAGAAGGCCUUCGGGUUGUAAAGCCCUUUUGUUGGGAAAGAAAAGCAGCAGGUUAAUACCCCGCUGUUCUGACGGUACCCAAAGAAUAAGCACCGGCUAACUUCGU